Non-coding RNA from Pelobates cultripes (western spadefoot toad), 431 nucleotides. NCBI's taxonomy places the organism in Eukaryota, Metazoa, Chordata, Amphibia, Anura, Pelobatidae. The record is from the annotation of a GenBank genome assembly.
GCUGAAUCAGGAAGACAGGAAUAUGUGGGGCAUAUAGCUGCUCUUAUACCAACUCCACUGUCUCAAUGGACUCCAAUUUAUACAGCUCAAGAAGAGGAAUGGUUAAGGACUGAACCUGGAAAGUAUUUGGAGAACAAAUGGUAUCAGUUAGAAGAUGGAAGAAUAGUUAUUCCAGCAUCACUAGCGGUAGAAAUUGUCCAAAACUAUCAUAGCGGGACACAUUCUGGGAGAGACAGUACAGAAGAAUCUCUCAGAAAACAUUUCUACAUACCAAGAUUGUCCAACUUGACUCAGGCCAUUGUACGUAGAUGUGUAACGUGUGCUAAAAAUAAUGCAAGACAGGGACCAGUAAAGCCACCAGGAGUCCAGUUUAUGGGGGGACUUCCCAUGUCCGAUUUACAAAUUGACUAUACAGUGAUGCCUAAAUCGGG